RNAcentral lists this long non-coding RNA (871 nucleotides) under Homo sapiens (human). RNAcentral describes it as "HSALNT0387300". Lineage: Eukaryota; Metazoa; Chordata; Mammalia; Primates; Hominidae. The record is from RNAcentral.
AGCACUUUCUGAGAAGCCCCGUGCAGCUGCUAACAGUGACUGCCUAGGGGAAAAUGGACUUGAAGGAGUAGAGGCCAACUUUUCAUUUUAUACCUUUCUAUACUUUUUAGGACUACCACCUAUGUACGUGCAUUUUAUUUUUGUUAAAUGUUCGCAGGGGAUAUCUGGCAGGACAAGGAACUGGCUGGAAAGGGGCGCGAGGAGAUCUUCUGGGUGACGGAGAUCCAGGUGGUGGUUACUCAGAUGUAUUUUAUCCUUCAAUGAGAAGUUUAUUUCGAAAACGUCCUGUGUCUCUUCCAAAGAUAGCUCCAGCUGGGCAAAGUGGCAGCUCUGUGGGCUCCAACGGAAGAGGCCAAAAGGCCCAUCCUCCUCCUGUCCCCUGGGUUCAAUUCACAGCCCUGCCUGUCUCUAGCUGUGUGAUCCUGGACGUGCCUCUCUGCUUCCUCAGCUCCUGCUUCAAGACAGGCCUAACCAAAUUUUGAGAAGUCCCCAGCAGAGCUCCCGACCCUAGUAGAUCAGAGAAGAAGAAUGAAUGUUCUGAGUGGGUACCACAUGGCAGGUGCUAUUCUAAAUACUGAACAGCUGUGAACCCAUUUAAUCCCCGUAAGAAACUGGUGAGCUUGGUUUCAUUUGACUCAAGAGGCCCAGAGACGAAAGCAACUGGUCCAGGGUCACACAGCCAGCAGGAAGUGGAUCAGGGUUGGAACCUGGGCAGUCUGGCCCUGAAGCGCUGCAGAAAGUAUUAUUUUGGGAGCAAAUAGGUAAUAGGUGGUGAGAGCCACCUAAAAAUACCCCUCCUCUCUGGCCCAGUAACCACUUCUAGAAAUCUGCCCUAAACAAGUAACUCAAAUAAAGCGAAAGCUGAGAUACA